AGGGGAAUAUUUCACAAUGGGCGAAAGCCUGAUGCAGCAACGCCGCGUGAGGGAUGACGGCCUUCGGGUUGUAAACCUCUUUUAGUAGGGAAGAAGCGAGAGUGACGGUACCUGCAGAAAAAGCACCGGUUAACUAAGAGCCAGCAGCCGCGGUAAUACGUAGGGUGCAAGCGUUGUCCGGAAUUAUUGGGCGUAAAGAGCUCGUAGGCGGCUUGUCGCGUCUGCUGUGAAAUCCCGGAGCUCAACUCCGGGCCUGCAGUGGGUACGGGCAAGCUAGAGUGCGGUAGGGGAGAUUGGAAUUCCUGGUGUAGCGGUGGAAUGCGCAGAUAUCAGGAGGAACACCGAUGGCGAAGGCAGAUCUCUGGGCCGCUACUGACGCUGAGGAGCGAAAGCAUGGGGAGCGAACAGG
This 409-nucleotide ribosomal RNA is filed under the name uncultured prokaryote. RNAcentral describes it as "bacterial SSU rRNA". It matches the Rfam family "Bacterial small subunit ribosomal RNA", at positions 355 to 776 of the family's 1533-position model. The record is from RNAcentral. RNAcentral also lists the same sequence under 1 other name.